Molecule: ribosomal RNA, 466 nt
Filed under: uncultured soil bacterium
Lineage: Bacteria
Description: bacterial SSU rRNA
Rfam family: Bacterial small subunit ribosomal RNA
Source: RNAcentral
AGAACGAACGCUGGCGGCAUGCCUAAUACAUGCAAGUCGAACGAACUCUUCGGAGUUAGUGGCGCACGGGUGCGUAACGCGUGGGAAUCUGCCCCUUGGUUCGGAAUAACAGUUGGAAACGACUGCUAAUACCGGAUGAUGACGAAAGUCCAAAGAUUUAUCGCCAAGGGAUGAGCCCGCGUAGGAUUAGCUAGUUGGUGAGGUAAAGGCUCACCAAGGCAACGAUCCUUAGCUGGUCUGAGAGGAUGAUCAGCCACACUGGGACUGAGACACGGCCCAGACUCCUACGGGAGGCAGCAGUAGGGAAUAUGGACAAUGGCGAAAGCCUGAUCCAGCAAUGCCGCGUGAUGAUGAAGGCCUUAGGUUGUAAAGCUACGUUUUACCCGAGAUUCGAUUAAUGACAGUAUACGGAGAAAUUAAGCCCCCGGAUAAACCGUCCGUACGCCCAAGACCGUAGCCGUACGGU